UACGAAGGGGGCUAGCGUUGUUCGGAAUUACUGGGCGUAAAGCGCAUGUAGGCGGCGAUUCAAGUCGGGGGUGAAAUCCCAGGGCUCAACCCUGGAACUGCCUUCGAUACUGUAUUGCUAGAGUAUGGAAGAGGUAAGUGGAACUGCAAGUGUAGAGGUGAAAUUCGUAGAUAUUUGCAAGAACACCAGUGGCGAAGGCGGCUUACUGGUCCAUUACUGACGCUGAGAUGCGAAAGCGUGGGGAGCAAACAGGAUUAGAUACCCUGGUAGUCCACGCCGUAAACGAUGAGAGCUAGCUGUUGGGGAGUUUACUCUUCAGUAGCGCAGAUAACUCAAUAAGCUCUCCGCCUGGGGAGUACGGUCGCAAGAUUAAA
This 374-nucleotide ribosomal RNA is filed under the name uncultured bacterium. RNAcentral describes it as "bacterial SSU rRNA". It matches the Rfam family "Bacterial small subunit ribosomal RNA", at positions 524 to 898 of the family's 1533-position model. The record is from RNAcentral.